GUGUAUGUGUGUUUGUGUGUGUAUGUGUGUUGUUGUGUGUGAAUGUGUGUUUGUGCUUGCUUGUUUGUGUGACAGUGUGUCUGUGUUUGUGUGGGUAAUAUGCGUGUGUGUGGGUGUAUCUGUGUUUAUACAGUUACGAGUGUUUAUGAAUAUGUUAGUGUAAUAUGUGUGUUUGUGUAUGUAUGAGUAUGUGUUUGUAUGUGUGCGUGUGUGUGAUGUGUGUGUGUGUUUAUGUGGGUCAUAUGUGUGUGUGGGUAUAAGUUUGUAUGUGUGUGUCUAAUAUAUGUGUUUGUGUGGGUGGGUGGGUUUGUGUGUUUGUGUGUGUGUAUGUAAUAUGUGUGUGUGUGUCUAUGUUUGUGUGUUUGUGUGUGUUUGUGUGUGUGCAUGUAUCCAUGUCUGUGUUUAUAUAGUUACGUGUGUUUGUGUAUGUGUUUUUGUGUGUGAGAGUGUGCGUGUGUGUGUGUUUGUUUGUGUGUGUACUAUGUGUGUUUGUGUAUGUAAUAUAUAUGUGUUAAUGUGUAUGUAUGUGUGGAUGGGUUUUUGUGUGUAUACGUGUGUGUGUUUUUUUUUGUUUGUGUGAGUGUGUAUGUCUGUGUUUGUUUGUGUUUGGGAGUGUUUGUAUAUGAGUGUUUAUGUGGGUGAUAUGUGUGUACGGGCGAAUAAGAGUGUGGGUAUAAGUUUAUAUAUGGGUGGGUGUGUGUGUGUGUAAUAUACGUGUCUUUGUGGAGGUGUGUGUUUUUGUGUUUGUGUGUUUAUGUGUGUGUGUGAAUGUGUGUAUUUUUAUUUGUGUUUGUUUUUGUAUUUGUAUGUGUGAGUGUGUGUGUGUGAGUGUGUGUGUGCGUGUGUGUGUUUGUGUGAGAUUGUAUGUUUUAAUGUUUGAGAGAGAGAGAGAAAGAGAAAAAGAAAGAGAGUGUGUGUCUAUAUGUUUGUGUGUGUGAUGUGUGUAUGUGUGUUUGCGUGUGUUUNUGUUGGUGAUAUGUGUGUAUAGGUGGAUGGAAGUGUAGGUAUAGGUUUGUGUAUGUGUGUGUAAUAUAUGUGUUUGUAUGGGCAGGUGUGUGUGUAAUAUGUGUGUNNN
RNAcentral lists this long non-coding RNA (1075 nucleotides) under Vigna radiata. RNAcentral describes it as "long non-coding RNA (VRAD_LNC017872)". Lineage: Eukaryota; Viridiplantae; Streptophyta; Magnoliopsida; Fabales; Fabaceae. The record is from RNAcentral.